Bubalus bubalis (water buffalo) is the source of this 964-nucleotide long non-coding RNA. RefSeq lists it as uncharacterized. The transcript has 2 exons. Lineage: Eukaryota; Metazoa; Chordata; Mammalia; Artiodactyla; Bovidae. The record is from RefSeq and is a predicted model, not a curated record.
AUUUUUAUCCAGCCACUUCAGAGCACUGUGUGAACAUGGUGAAUUCCACCCUUAGCUGACUAGCAUGGUUUUCCCUAAACAAAGACACCCUCCUACAUGACCAGCACACGGCUGUUUGAUUCAGAAAACCGACGUGGAUACAGCACUACUACCCACAGGUCCUGUUCAGAGUUUCCAACUGAUCCCAAAUAGCUCCUCUUCUUUUCUGGUUGAGAUUCCCAACAAGAUUUGAUGACCCUCCUCUUGCUGUUUCUGAUGACUCUUCAUGACAGGAUCAGUUUACAUUUCCUAUUCUAGUUCUAUGGAAAACGCCAUUGGCGAUUUGAAAUGGAUUGCAUUGAAUCUGUAGAUUGCCUUGUAUAGUGUUGAUACAGAGCAGGACCCUGUGGUCUUUGCUGAGUCCUCACAAUGUCCUCUACCUGCCUUUCAUCUGUGGAAUGACUUUAGCCGAAGAAUAAGUUUAAUAGGAGAAGUUAAAACAUGCAAAAAUGAAGGAAAACAGUCAAACGAGUCCAAACAAUAACAACGUAGCUAUUAAGCAAAGUCGAGGACCUUUAGUUUCUUUUCAAAGGCUACAGAUAAUAUUCUGAGCCAUAUCUUGUGAGCUGUCUUGCAGAUAAUGAAACCUCCCACUAGGUGGAAGACAUUAAACUACAUCAUGACCAUACCGUAGCCUCACAAAAGGUGCCGCAGUUCCAAGAACUGGCCUUAAAGAAAUGGGAACAAACCGCGGAACUGAACACUCACUACGCCUAAAACAAGACGACGCUGUUCAGACCACCAAUGACCAACUUCAAGAUGACUGUCAGAGCUGACUGUGCUGUUUCUGCAUGUAGCCCCUCGCCUCUGUCUGUAAAACCUCUCACCCGCUGAUUGUCAGUAGAGGGACUUGAGCACUGGGCAGAUGUCACCCCUCCCCCCAUGUCACCUGCAUCUAAAAUAAAGCAAAUGUUCUCCUCACCAA